This 12514-nucleotide long non-coding RNA is filed under the name Malus domestica (apple). RNAcentral's name for it is "long non-coding RNA (MDOM_LNC008802)". The record is from RNAcentral. Lineage: Eukaryota; Viridiplantae; Streptophyta; Magnoliopsida; Rosales; Rosaceae.
GUAUAUUUCCUUUGGGAUGUCAAACAGAAACUUUUUGUGCAAGCAAACGAAACGAUGGACAGAUUGUGGUGAAUCAGGUGACGUUGCUGAGGUAACAUCUGUGAAAAAGCAGCUGCGCGGGAAUCCGUGAAAGGUCAGGUUAUAUGCAGCUUUUGAAAUAUGAAAAUAGAGAGUAGGAAAUAGUAAUGUAAACAAAUGAAUGUUGAUCUAUACCCAUCCAUCUUUUUUUUUCAUUAUGAACUUGAACUGGUACCUGGGAGAUGUGGGAUCUAACAGUUAUUAGAACUUGAUUUUUUACGCGAUAUAUUUACGUGGGAAUCAAUUGAUAUCGAAUUUGUUAUUCAUGAUAUUCGAAUAUAAGACAUCUUAAAGAAAAAUAUCAUCAGACUAAGUGACAAAAUUUUUGAAUCAAUUCUCAAUUUAUGCUUGUUUUAUUUACUAGAAAAAACUAUUUUCUCAUUAUCUGAUUUCUUCGUUUAUGGCAACUGAUUAUCAUCCAAAACUAUGAAACAUUUAAUUUUUAUUGAAUUUUGAGAGAUUACAUUGAUUAUUAUUAUUAAAGAUUUGAUUAGUUUCUGUCAUUUUCUGAGCAUGCAACAAUAAUAUAGUUGGUAGGUGAAGAUUUAGGACACCUUCAGGACAACGUGACUGCAUUGAUCAUGUAUAUUUGGUUAUUUAAGCGUUGAUAAACAUGUUCAUUUUUAUUAGUGACAUAUCAUUUAGUCUCCAAAUUUAGUAUCCCUAGCAUUAUCCUUGUUGAUAUUUUUCACAUCAAGGUGAUGCCAUGGCCAACUCUAAAGGCCUACACAACCAUUUGCAGAAAGGAGAUCUUCUCAAAGUGAGACUCUUUAUGGACUCUCUGUCACUUUAAUAUUAAUUUAUGUGUCAACAUUAUAAAACAUUGUGUAAAAAACAUAAGGUGGUAGAAAGUCCGUAGAGAAUUCCACUCUUGAGAAGGUCUCCUUAGCAUUUCUCUUGUUUGAUUUUCCAAGGAAAGAGCGUUGCCUUCGUCCAUAUUAGUCGUGGCGAUCGAGUUGCCUACACUAAAGGAUUAAGUAUUUCCAAGUGAGAGAGUAUAGCCGUGGAAAACUCUCAAAAGUUCAAAGAUAGGUUCUCCUUUUCUAUCUUAAUUUCUAGGCUUUGAAACCUCAUUGCCUUCUUAGGCUUUAAAGUACGAAGACCGAUUUAUUUUAUAGCAUUGAAAAACAACCACAAUGUGAGAAAAUUGUGGGGUGGCUUAGCUAUUUUUGAGAGUUAACAUAUACUUAAGAAGGAAAAAGUAAUUUGCUUUUAAAAAGAGAUAAUAAUAUAAAGUGUAGUAGUUCAGUAUUAGUGAUUUUUCGAAAAUACCUUACAUGUGGGGGAAUCUGCUGAAGACUGAAGUACUAGCAAAUUACUUAAUAAGUGAUAAAGAUUUUUACCGCAUGCAAAAGUAAGUAUAAAAACACUUUAAAUACUUGCAAGAGUACAAGGUAAUUGUAGUAAGGUCGUUCUCCACAGGGAUUGAAUGAAUAAUUUGUAUUAAACCAAAUUUUAAUUAAUAAUUUAAAACGAAGUUUGAGAAAAUGUUGAUUUUGUGAUUUAAAAUAAUAAAAAUGAAUUUAAUAGAAAAUAAUUAAAUAAGGUUGUGACGACCCGUCCCGAAUUAAUAUAUAUAUUUUAUCCUCAGAUGUGUGGAAUUGACGAUUAUGCCCUCGAGUCGUAGUGACAUGAAUGUAUCUUUACAGUUUUAAAUUACUUUUUUUGCUGACGUAAUUAAAUUGUACAUGACGUCCCGAGAGCAUUGACGUGAGUUAGGGCCGAAUCGGGCUUGUAACGGAAAAGUUACGAAUGUUAAAAUACAAUUGAAUCAAAUAGGAAAAUAAAAUUAGACCAAUUGGGAUCAUUCCUGUUUUCUUGGAGCCCAAUUAGGAUUGAGUUGAAGUAUAUGUUGGGCCAUUUGGGUUUUCCUUUCUUCUUCUUUCUCACAGCUACCCAAUAGGGAGCCUUGAUAUUUUCCUUUAGCCAAUCCCGUAGCUAAAUCACACACACACCCACACGUAACCUUUCUUCCUCUCUCAUCUUUCUCGAAAUCUCUCUCGUUCGUACCGUUCGUACACCCAUGCACCCAACCAUCCUCAUCUAGCAUAGAUCGAGAUGUUGGAGACCACCUUUGAGUUCGUUGCAAGCUCACGAGCCUAACCAUACCCUUUGUUUGAGGGAAGGAUGUCGAAAUCGUGAGAACUUUCGAACUCCGGCGAGGAGUUCUGUUGCUCCGAUGUGAUCAUGGUUGAUUUAAUUGGUUUUGAGGCUUAAGAAGGUACUCUUCUAGUUUCCCUAGCACUUUGGAGUCAUUUUGAAGUGUUUUGGACGUCGGGACACUAGGGUUUAUCAAGUUGCAAACUUAGUCGGAAUAUCGAAGAAUUUUCAGACAACUUCUGGUCGGUUUUAGGGCUCCAAAUAGGUAAGGUUUUGUUCUCCUUGUUGAGAGCUUCAAAUCCAUAUAAGAUUUAUGGAAUUUGGUUGAAAAGUGAGUGAGAAAAUCGAAUUUUAAAUUUUUCCAGAAACCGACAACACAGCGGCGACCGGCGCCGGAAUCUGGCAACCCACCGGAGAAGAAAGGAGAAUAUUCCGUCAACUUUGACAGAAUAUACAAACGGCAUCAGGUAUAUUUAACGAAAUAUUCUCUAACGGCGUUAAAGUUUCUGUCCAAUGUGCCAGGCACGUGCCUAUGCGUGGUCGGAAUGUGAGGGCGCGUGGGAUAUCGGAAAAUUAUUCUAAAAUAUGGGGAUGCUCGUGGUGUUGAGUAGGCCACAAUGGUAUAUUCAAACACCCUAAUUGAGCAACGUAUGAGAAGUUAUUAUACAGUUUUGAUUAUGUGCUUAAAUUAACGUUAAAUCAGUGGUUUCACAUAUAGGCGAGACGUUCCCGGAAGACGAGCGUAGCCAGGCGAGACUCGAGGGUUACGACCCAGCUACAUACCAGUGAGUAGGCUUUUGGUUUUCUAUAUAUAUACGUAUAUAUGAUUUACAUUUUCCCAAAAAUUGUUUUAAAUGAAAUUAUGUUUUAAAUGCCAUGUCUAUUGCAUUACAUUUGAGUAUAUGCAUUAGUAUAGAUAUGCAUAUUAUUGCAUGGUGCUGCGGACGCUUAGGUAAGCUUCAGGUGAGUACAUAUUGAUGAUAAUGAUUGUAGAGUAUAUGGUUAUGUUUAGAUGCAUUUAGUGCUCAUUAUCCUGCACUCCGGUGUUAGUGCUCCGCCCCGGACCAGGUCUAGCCUUCACGUGAUCGUUCACUUCCCACACCACACGCUCACCUUGGAUCCAAGGCAGGUGUCAGCCUGUCGUACAGACCACAUUAGGUGGUUCUGACUCGUAGGUGACUUGCGAUACUUCGCACAGCCUUCACGUGAUCGUAGCACUUGAGCGUAUCUAUUUACACCCAGCCUGUCGUACAGACCACAAUAGUGGUUCCGACUCGUGUGCAGGAAUUGGUUAUGAACUAUAAGUUCAGCCGUACAGGUCACGUUAGGUGACUCCGGCUGAUAUAUCAUUUUAUAUUGAUUUACAUCACCUGGCUUACAUAGUUAUUAUUGAGAUACUUGACAUGGCAUAUACUGUGGUUUUCAUUACUCUCGAACCUGAUUUCUAUAUAUGUAUAUAUUGUUAUUUUUUGAGAAAUUAUAUGGAUUUUAUGGUGAGGGGUUAUAUGUUUUGGAAGUGAAAUGGUUUUGAAAAUUUUUAUUUUUGCCCACUCACAUUUUCUAUUUUGCGCCCCUCCAAAUUCUAGUUAGAAGUUCGUGUUGGUGGCUCACGAGGAUCCUACGGCGGUUCUGACAGACAUCCAUCAAUAUAGGGUUUUCUUUCAUAUCUUGUAUAAUUAGUAUUUAGCUUGCUGGACUGCACUUUGGUACUUGCACUCUGAUUAUGUGUAUCUACACUCUAACACUUCCAAUCGUACUUUUAUACUAGUCUAGUGUAACUUAGUUAGUUUGAUUUUUAUUUACCCACAUUAUCUUAUCACUUUCAUUUCCGCACGGCGCACAUGGCUACAUCAUCUUCACAUGACGACCAGCAUGCCUCGACUUAGGUCGGGGUGUGUCAAAGUGACAAAAUAAAAAAAUAACUAAAAGAAAACGGUUUUUGAAAAUUAAAUGUAAAAGCCUAGAGUUCCGCCAUCACCUUAACAGACCUAUGUAGUUCUUCCAAUUACUUAUGAAUUACACAUGCAUAUUUUGAAGGUUAAGUUUUCCUAAAGUAUGCCUACUUGGACCCCCAACAUAGAGUGAAUAUCAAACAUGCAACUUGUCUUUGGUAUUCAGAUCAAAUCUAAACAUGCAUGACUCAUUAAGCUUUGUGAAACCUUUUGAAAAACCAUACAACCUUUAAGACGUGGUAUUCAUCCUAAGUGAACUUGCACAUAUUAACCACAUGAAGCCUUCGUCAAUUUAAGGGACCAACCUCUGUCCAAAAUUGCAUAAAAUUACUUUUCUAAAGAUCCUAAUAGUAGCUAAGCAUUAAGACAAUUAGAUAGUAUAAAUAGGUGAUUAAUAAUUCAAACCUGCAUACAUAAUAUCAUAAGCAAAUUCAAAAGAAACUACAGUCUACAUAUUCUUGUUAAGGCUCGUGGCCUCACCCUAGCAAACUGAAAUUAGUUACUAACAAUCAUAAAACAAAAUAUUAUUAAAAACAAUGAUUGAAAACACCUUGAAGAUAAACUUGAAUUGUCAAAAACUCCAAAGUAAAGCGUUCUUCUCCUCUCUCUGCUCACCCUAAUGGCUAAAAAGCCUUAUUUAUACUACUACAUAAUUAAAAUCCUUACUAGAAAAGGUCUUUUAAAAACUAGGAAACAUAAUAGAAUUAGAUAACUAGGAAAUACAUUCAUAUUCUAACUUUGAAAAAUCUGCCCAGCCACAAAUCAGCCAUGUUUUUGGACUUCCGGAGCUCCAAAACAGGCUCAAAAUGACUUGAACUAAAACUUGAGAUGUCCCAAACAUAAUUGCAGAAGGUCUUGAACACAAAAUACAUCAUCUUGGACACCAAAAAGUCCAAAUAAGCCCAAAAUGUCACUUUGAUAGUAUUGCACGCUGCUCCUUUAUUUCUUCGCCAUAAAUAAACUACUUGGUAGAAAAAUAUGAAACUUUGACACAAUCAAGUUGAGAGACACAUGAACGUCCUCCAAUUUAAAUCACUACAAAAUUUGACGCAACCCGACCCUAAAAUCAGGGCGUGCUGGCCGUCACGUGGGCGUGACGUAACCAAAAGUGCGACGCGGGAGCAAAAAGGUAAAAGAAAACGAAGGAAUAAAAACCAACUACUAGCAAUAAUAUCCAACUAACAUGCUAGAGUGAGUUUAAGUGUGAAACACACAUAAUCAGAACAUAAAUACUAUGUGCAGUCAAGUAGGACCAUUACUAAAUUACAACACUCGAUGGUGAAUCCUACAUUUAAGUAGUCUGUCAGAACGCCGUGGAAAUCCUCGUGAGUCACCAACACUGCUAACUAGAACCUGGAGGGGCGCAAAACAAGAUUGAGUGGGUCAGUAAAACAAAGAUUUUCGAAAAUAUUUCAAUUAAUAACACUUCUAACCCCUCGCUGUAAAACCUGUAUACUUUCCCAGAAAAAUAGUAUAUAUAUAACCAUAUAUAACAGCAAAACUCAAAUCACAAGUCUUUAACACUUUUCAGGAAAAAUAUGCCAUGCUAUGCUUUAAAACAUAAUAAGGAUGCAUCAAUAUAACAGGUGAAAUAAGGAAUCAACCGGAGACCCUGCAGUUGUCCUGUACGGCUAAUUCUAUAGCUCAAUAUCCAAUCCAGCCGGAGUCACCAACUGUGACCUGUACGGCCCUACUCUGCACAUAAAUCGAAACAAUCUGAAGUAGUUUGUACGACAAGAAUGGUGUAAGAAUACACUCUAGUACUUCUCUCAUUAAUAGCUGUAUAAUAAUCUAAAGUCACCUACAAGUCGGAACCACCUCUAAUGGUCUGUACGACAUGUCGGAACCACUUCUAAUGGUCUGUACGACAUGCACCUACUUGGAUCCAAGGUGAGCGUGUGGUGUGGGGUGAAUAAUAUAAGCACUAACACCGGGGGUGCAGGUUAUGAGCUCUCAACAUAAUCACAUCAAACAAUAAAUCACAUGAACAACAUAAAACUCACCUGAUACUCACCUGUGUGUCUACAACACCAUUUAACAUAUAUGCAUCAAUUACUAACUCAUAUAUUUCAUAUAAUAUAUAUGCAUGGCAUUUUAAAACAUACUAUCAUUUAAAUUCAAUUUUUGGGAAAGAUCAGUAGUAUAAAGGUAUAUACAGAAAAUAACUGCCCACUCACUGGUAUGUCGAAGGGUCGUAACCCCCAUGACGCCCUUGAAUGCGCUCGUCCUCGUGAUAGGUCUCACCUAUAUGCGAAACAAUUAUAAAAACGUUAUUUUAAAGCACAUAACUAACAAUACGUAAUAACUUCUUAUACGAUGCUCAAUUUAGGUAUAUGAAUAUACCACAGUGACCUACUUGACGUCACGGACGUCGAGAUAUUUUUAGAAUAAUUUUUCAAUGCCGCAUGCGCCCCCACGUGCCGGGAGAGGCACGGUGCUACGCGCCCCCACGCGCAUCUUCCCCUACCUCCAGACACCGGACUGGUUUCGCCAGCAACAGAAAAGUCGCCGGUUUCUGGGUUAUUUUCAAAUCACCAUAACUCAUUUAUUUCUUCACUAUUUUCAAUGCUCUUUAUAUCAAAAUGAAGAUCUCGACGAGAUAAACAAAUCCAUACCUGCUUCGACCCUUAACUCGCCAGGGAUUCAUCGGAAAAAGCCUCGAAAGUUCCGGCCAAAUUUGAAAAGCUUCGUUCUCAGUCCUCUGACGUCCAAAUUCUACCAACAAAGUACCCUAAAGCUCGUGAGAACCUCCUUAAGCUCACUGUGAGCUUGAAAUUCCCUGAAACACAAUGUUUUACGUGUGCAUGAAUAGUGCACAUUUUCGGGGUCAGGGUUUCAUGAUGAUUUCGAAGGUCUUAAGUUCCAAAAUUAGAAUGUUUGGACUCAGGGACUCAAGAUGAGUUCGAUUCUUACCUUAGAACCUUCGAUUUGUGCCUAAAUGUUCGCGGGUGAGAGUGUCCGUACAAGUUUGAAGGGUGAGAGAGUGAAACUGAGAGGGAAAAGAGAGAUACGAGAUAGGAGAGAGAGAGAGAGGAUGAUAGGGAUUUGUGUGGUCCUCUUAAGUCCCUAACCACACAAAAUGCAUACAAUUUUUAAUCCAACUUAAUUUUCCAAAAACUUAGGAAGGUAUGUAUUAUUCAAAUAAACAUGUUACACAUACCUUAGCAACCUUUAAGGGCAAUUCCAUCAAUUCACAUCCACGAUAAAUGAAAUUUCGGGACGGGCUGUGACAAAAUUCGUCUGUUUCAUCAUGUUUUGCUCUAGAGGAAGUCGAAUGUCCUACAUUAAGAAUAUAAAUCAAAGUAUCAAAAUUCUCACAAAAUAACCACUAAAUUAUAACUAAAAAUAGGGUAAAAUAUAUAGUAUAAUAAUGACUCGUCAAUAAGUCCGAACAUACAUUUUGAGGAUGGAAGCGCGCACCAUAUGUUGGAACCACUCUUGAAUGAAAUAUAAUUCCAGAAGAUGGAUGUGCGCACUAUGAGAAACCGUGAUCUAACCUAGUGGCACCAAUUAUAAUGUCGUUGCACCCAAGGCAUGGAGAACCUAUGACUGACCGGGACAGAUUCCUUCCUUAGGCCACAAUCACAUUUGAAAGAUGUCAAAUCACAAGCAACUAAAACCACCAACUUCUCUUUACUCGCUCGGCCUUAGUUGCAAGUUGGCUCGUUCACGGAAAGAUUUGCAGUGCAGUACUAGAAAAGAUGAUAAUUGGAAAAGAACUUCACUACUAAUUAGUGUGCUGUUUGUGUGAUUUCCAAGGAAAGAGUCUUGCCUUCGUCCAUAUUAGGGCUGGUUUGGUAUUGCUGUGCUUUGAAAAAAAGCUGCUGUGAGAAUAAGCGGCUGUGCUGUGAAAAUAAGCGGCUGUGAAAUAAAGCCAGUAGAGUGUUUGGUAAACUUUUUUGUGAAAGUGCUUUUGGAAAAAAAAUCAGGAUGAUAGUGUGUCUUUUCAUUAAAGGAGCACUGUAGCUCUGUGUGCUUUGAAAAAACUGGCUUUUUUUCAAAGCAGCAAAUAGCAGCUUCAGCUUUUCCUUUGAUUUUCAGCUUAUUCUCACAGCAGCUUCCAAAAUAAGCCAUUUUUUUUCAGUUUACCAAACACAAAAAUAACCCUCAGCUUUUUUUCACAGUGGCUUUUUUUAAAAUCACCUCAAUCCCAAACGGGGCCUUAGUCAUGGUGAUUGAGUUGCCUACAACAAAGGGUUAAGUAUUCCGAGUGAGAGUUUAGCUAUGGAAAACUCUCAAAGUUCAAAGGCUAUGGUAAAGUGCCAAGACAUACUUAUCCUAAGAAGGCAGUGAGUUUUUAAAGCCUAGAAAUGAAGAUAGAAAAAGAGAUCCUAUCUUUGUACUUCUUUAAGCAUGAAGACUGAUUUAUUUGAUAGCAUUGAAUAGCAACCACAAUGUGAGGAGAUUAUGGCGUUGAUAUAUACUAAAGAAGAUGAAAAAAGUAAUUUGCUUCUAGAAAUAGAUAACAAAUAUGAAGUGGAUUAGUUUACUAGUACUAGACGGAUUUAAAUUCUCUUAUAGUGAUUUUUAAGGUAUUGAAAGGUUAGAGACUUCCAAAAAUACCUUAAAUGUGAGGUAAUCUACCUGAAGUGUUAGCAAAUUACUUAGUUCACUAGACGGUUUUAAAUUCUCUUAUGGUGAAUUUUAAGGUAUUGAAAGGUUAUUGACUUCCGAAAAUACCUUAAAUGUGGGGAGUCUACCUGAAGUGCUGGCAAAUUACUUAGUGAGUCCGAACAUACGUUGUAAGGACUUAAUGUUGGAAAACAACUACUCUCGAAUGAAAUAUAAUUUCACAAAAUGAAAAUGCUCACCAUAAGAGAUAGUCUUCAACCUAGAGGUAUAAAUUAUAAAGUCCUUCCUCAGUCCACAAUCACAUUUGAAAGAAGUCAAGUCACGAUGCAACUAAAAUCACCAACUAAAAUCAACCUAGUGGUAUAUUAUAAAUCUUUCGCUUCUCCCUGUGCAAAUCUCAGAGGCGCUUACCAUAAUUGCUUCACGAGGUCCUCUCUCUCUUCUCGCUCUAAAAUCUAUCUCAAAAAGUUAUAAUGGGUAUCGUUUUUGUCCGCAGGUUGUACCCGGAGAAGGUUGUGGUUUUUUUUUUGGAUUUCAGAUUUCUCUUUGUUAUCAAAUCGCUUAUGUAUUUUCUUGGUAUUAGGAUCUAAGAUUUUUGGUUUUUAAAGAGCAGCAGGCGAAGUUGGGGUACGUUUUCUUCUUUCUGUAUUUUUUUUGUUUAAUUUCUAAUUUUUAUUUCAUGCAUGGUGGACUUCUCUUUUGUAAUUAUUAAAUUGCUUCUAUAUUGGUUUGCUAUUUAAGAUCUGAUUUAUUUUAUUUUAUUUUUUGUUUUUUGCAUUUCAAGAGCAGCGGCAGGAUAUACCUUUUCUAUUUUUCUAUUUUUUUUUUUAAUUUCUAACUUUUAUGCAAGAUAUGAAAAUAUUGUAUGAAUCUCAUUCUCAUGUACGAUUAUCACCAAACGUAUAUAUUUUUCGUGGAAUUCUUGAGAAAAUCCAAGCUGAAUUCCAUUUUGUUUGGAAGAAAUUUAAUACCAGAAAGCUUGGCUCUCGUUCUGAUUUGAAGAAAUUUUAAUUUUUUUUCUUGGAUUAAACUACUCUAGAUUAAUUGUAGUUUGUGGGUUCAAUUAGGAACUUAGAUCUACUGAAUUAACUGUUUUUAGGGUCUGUUUUUCAGAAUAUUGAAUCAGUUUAUUUGUUAUUUACGUUAUUCCAUUGGGGUGUGCUAUCUACGCACCCCAUUUUACUUCUCACACACCCUUUGAUGAUUUAUGUCCAUUGAUUUUCUUCAAUUCAUCCGAUCUGACGGCCGAAAAUUAAAAAGGUGUAUGAGAAGUAAAAUGGGGUGUGGAUAUCAUACCCCUAUUCCAUUUCCAACUUUAGAAGGUGAUCUCAGUUCACCUGUUGUGAUUGAUCACAGUCGGUGAUUUAAUGAUUUCAUGUUUUUUAAAUUGUGUUACAUCUUAAUUUAAUGGUGAUUACAGGAGGAUACGUGUAGAUGUAGCAAUUGUUUUGUAAGCGCCAAAAACUGUGCAUGGGCCAGGGUUAGCAGUUGCUAUUUCAUCCCAUAGAUGGCGACGCUAUUCUUAUUGAGUAAUCUUCGAAGAAAGUUACCUCUUCAGAGAAGUACUCUGGCAGCAUUCGUUAAGCACUCUCCCUUUACUUUUCUUACAAGGAUUGCAACCUGGUUUGGAUCAGUACUGAUCAGUUUGUGGUCAUUGUUUUGGCAUUCAAUACAAGAGAAAUAUAAAGUCCUUGUCUUCAAGGCAUAGAAAAGACUUCAAUAUGGACUCAACUCCUCCAUAAGAACGAUCUUUUGAUAAGGAGGCAGUUUACUUGUGGCGCAAGCAAAUGACCUAUAUGACACUUAAAACAAUAUGUUGCUCUUGGCUAGUAGUGGCAUGCCUAAAAUUAAUUAAUUUGGUAAGAGAGCCUAAGAGCCUACGCAAGGCUUUGUAGGCACCUUCAAAUUGCUCACUUACGCAGGGAGAGUUGUGUGGGGAUCUCAAAUCCUAAGGCAAAUGAAGCCUGGAAAAACUUCUAGGGUUGACCGGCCAAUAAGAACCACCUCAAGAGAUGUCCGCAGGGCAAAAGUUGCUUGAGUGUCCAGCAAUUCAAUCAAUUUAGUCCAAACGUGGAACAAUUAAUGCCUCAAAUUUAGGAAAUGCAAAAAAUUCAGGGAUUGUCUCAAGGCUACGUGAACCACUAAGAUUCACGAAUUUCAGUUUCUUCAAGUGUCCAAGGGCACGAAUUUCAACCAAUUUUAUGCAAUCUUCAAGAAUUAAUCUCUCAAGGUUAGGAAAUGCUGAUAGAUAAUUCAGGGGUUGUCUCAAGGCCAUGUGAACCACUAAGAUUCAGGAUUUUCAGUCUUAGAAGAAACUGUAUGAAGAGAAGUAGUUAGUUUCUCCAAAUAUAUAAUGAUGAACGAUCUCUUAAUUUUUGUGUGUGCGUGUGAGAGAGAGAGAGAAUCGUACCGUAGUUCCCUCCCAAACAUGUUGCAGCCUGCUGUUCUGCAACUCAAGGGCAACUAGAUAUUCCAAACAAAAAUUGGCUGGUAUUGAUUGUAAAGGGAAUCCUCGCCAAGACAACGAUACUAAAUUUUUUGGAAAAUCUCCAUAAUCGCCAUUGAUUUUGACAUUAUCGAGCAGGAGAAAUUCAAGAUUGUGCAUUUUUCUAAAUGCCUCUGCUUUGAAAGCUGGUUCAUUUGAUGAAUGAGUUGUUGAGGAAGUAUUCAUUGGUUCCGAGGAGAAGAUAUUAUGCCAUUUCUGUCUUGAAAAGUCACUACUUUCCUGAGUGGAAAGAUUAAUCGUGAGGCCCUUAAUAGUUUCUGUACCCUGCUAACCAAUAAAAACAUGGGGUGAGUUAUUUACUAGUUUACAUUCACAGGACAAUUAGGAGUACAUACAUAGGGAGAGUAUGUUACUCACAGUUAAUUUUCUCAAAAUAUUAUAGGCAUCGUUUUGCCACACUCUACUUAACUUUCCAGGGUCCUCGGGUGAUUGUUCGCGAAUAAUCCCCAUUCCCAUGUCUCGAAGUAAUGGAUGCAUGAACAAUUUGUUGUCUAGGCCAACGUCAACUAGACAUUUAUCAACUAGAUUUUGAAUUCCAAACCGUGUCAAAAAAUCACACGAGUCCACUACUGUAGCUGUGAAAUCCAUGUCCUUUCCUAUGAAGAAACGCGCAACAUGGAGGAAUAAUCUUUUGUCAUGAUCCGAUAUAGAAGAGAAACUGAUUUUGAGAUUAUUUUGAAUUUUGGGAUCGCCAGUAAUCAGGCUCAAGUUUUGGACUGCACUUUUCCAUGCCCCUAGAGUUUUUCCAAAGAGAGAAGAUGCCAGAACUUGAAGAGCCAAAGGGUUCCCUCCACAGUGGCUAUAUAACACUCGUAACCUCGGACAUGAUAGUCUUGUUUGAAGGCAAGCCAACAGAAGAUCUUAAGCGAUGCAAGGCUAUCUAGACCUUCAACUUUAACCAUUUCAGGCACUUGAUCGCGAGCCUUUGAUAUAUUUCAUGUAGUCUAGUUGUCAUGGUGAUUUUACUUCCUGGAUAAAAUGAUUCUCGCAUUCCAAGAAUUGCAUUGAAUUGGUCUAAGUCGUUCAGACCAGAAAAAACAAUAAGAACUUUUCUCCCACGCACAGCGUUGAAUCUUGUUUAUUCCUUUAUCCAUGUUGUAUAUUUCCUUUGGGAUGUCAAACAGAAACUUUUUGUGCAAGCAAACGAAACGAUGGACAGAUUGUGGUGAAUCAAGUGAAGUUGCUUAGGUAACAUCUAUGAGAAAGCAGCUACGCGGGAAUCCGUGAAAGGUCAGGUUAUAAGCAGCUUUCGCAAUGGUGGUCUUGCCAAUUUCCCCCAUCCCCCAGAUCACAGCUACAUCAACAU